Vigna unguiculata (cowpea) is the source of this 1733-nucleotide unclassified non-coding RNA. The record is from RefSeq and is a predicted model, not a curated record. NCBI's taxonomy places the organism in Eukaryota, Viridiplantae, Streptophyta, Magnoliopsida, Fabales, Fabaceae.
AUAAAACAAUAAAGAAUCUGAACAAUAAAGGAAUAUGAGCAGCAGGAAUUCCAAAGUAGUGGUGUACGUCUGCCCACGGGAUUGCCGGAUUGUGCCUGCUCGUAAUGAUAAUAAAAAAGUGAUAUUAUAGUAUUAUUUUAGUGAAAAGGAGAAAGAAAAAAAAACAUUGGAAAGUGUCACUUGAUUUAAUCUGUAUUCUGAUGGAUGCGAUUGUGCUGCCAGCAAAGUUGACAUGUGAAAGUCACAAAGAAAGAGGGAGUGAUGAUGGUGGCAGGGUUGGAGGUCACGCCAGCCACACCAAUGCUUUUGUAUUUUGGACUAUAAAACCAUUCCUCUUCCCUGCUUAACAUUUUCAUUCCUCUCUUCACUCUUGUUUUGCUCUUCCCUCCCUCUGCACUGCACACGCAACAUGAACGGGAAAGCCUCCAUCUCUAAGGAGCUCAAUGCCAAACACGCCAAGAUCUUGGAAGAACUUCUUAAGCUGCCCGAGAACAGGGAAUGUGCAGACUGCCGGAACAGGGCACCACGAUGGGCUAGUGUUAACCUAGGGAUUUUCAUUUGCAUGCAAUGUUCGGGAAUUCACCGAAGCCUCGGAGUUCAUAUAUCAAAGGUGCGGUCCACAACUUUAGAUACGUGGUUGCCAGACCAAGUUUCUUUCAUGCAAUGUAUGGGUAAUGUAAAGUCAAAUAAGCACUGGGAAGCAGAAAUGCCACUAAAUUUUGAUAGAAGUAAAUUGGCAAUGGAGAAGUUUAUCCGUAUGAAGUAUGUGGAGAAAAAAUGGGCUUCAAAAGAUGAAGUGCACUCAACAUCAAAUGGAGGCAUUCCGAAGAACAACAGGAGACUCUCUCUUGAAGAAAGCAUUCUUGCAAACCACGUCGCACAAAUUCUACCACCAAUAACAAGACCUCGAGGGGAUUUUAUAGACACGCAAAAGAAGAACUCUCCUCCAUUUAAAAGACCAUCCUCGUCUGUUGAUUUUGACAAGUCCACCAAGAGCAUCGCUACUGGGGACAUUUUCAACUUGCUUUGCAUCUAUGACGAUAACCAAAAUUUCUCAACAGUGCCACCUUCAACUUGGGCAACAUUUGAUUAUGUCACAACAUUAUAGUUUCUUUUGAAGUGGUGAAGUGGCAUGAGCCUUUUGCUGCAUAAGGUUAGUGUAUGCAUUUUUCCAUUUUUUAUUUUUUUAACAAUGUGAUUUGUACUUCAUAUUUUGGUGAAUCUCUAGAUUUUCUUUCAUUUCCUUACUUUCUAAUAUCUGAUGUUCUUAAAUUUACCUGAACUAUAGCCAAGUUAAUUCCACAGUACUUUUUAUACGAGUAAUAUAAGGUUUGUUUGACUACACUGUUUUGAACCAGACAUGUACAAACUUUGGUGCUGAAAUUGGGCAUAUGAUGGCUUGAUUUACAUUAUAGUUCAUUGUUCUUACAGCAUUACCUAAUAUAAGAUGAACAAGAGGAGGGAGGACAUUGUAGUUAUAUUUCUAUGACUCAUAGUAAUGCCAAAUUGGCUUACCAUGAGAAGUAAUCCCACCAUAUCAUGUGUCCACAAAGGCAUCACAACAUCUAAAUGCACCCGAGAAGACCCCAAUCAUUAUCAUAAUAAACCAUUGUUAACACUCGUAGUGAUUAGUCAUUAUGAUUACAUUUUGAUGAUGACGGAACGUUCAUCUUCAUGUUAGAUAUUGAGGGUUAUAAUAUCUUAUGAUAGUUAUAAUAUUAUAUGUAUUUGGA